UUCCCUGAUCGCGAGACGAUGCGACGGAGGGUGACGACGUCGGUCCUUUCCAUCGCCAUCUUCUUCCUCCUCGCCGCCUCCUUCUCCUUACAUGUCUUCCGUCACCUCCUCCCCUCGGGCAACGCCAUCAACUCCAGGACCCUGAACCAGCCCGUCGACCGCCUGCGCAAUUAUGCGGUCGGCGAGGCCGCGGUAUCGGUCCUCCGUGUAUUACGCUCCCCCCCGCGCCACCGCCCACCGCCCACGGAGUCCGUCCUCCUCCUCGACUGGGACGUGCUCCUCCUUCCCUCUCCUAAUACUUCCACCGCCGCGAGCGGCAGGCCGCUCUCUUGCCUUUUCCAUACCGGCGCCACCUCCCUUGCCCGCCCCGCCGGCCCCGUCGCCUUCCUCUGCUCCCUCCCCAACAGCCUCCGACGCUUCCGGCCCUUCUACACCCCACGCCUCUCCGAGGCCUCCUCCAACGCUUCUGGGUGGGUGGGCCAGGAGGAUCCCCCCCGGGAGAUGUUGCGGUCCACGCAGCUCGCCUACGAGUCGGUCUCCACCGCUGACGACGUCAUCGUCUUCGUGAAGGGCGUCAAUCGUCGACGGGAUCGCGACCUCCCCGCCUCCAGCCUUCGCUGCGUCUUCUCCCCCGCCUCCGGCGGCGCCGCGGUCGCCACGACCUCGGUCACUUCCUCGGCCCAGGAGGCGUUCCGCUGCGCUCACCCGCCCGCCGCCGAGGUGUCAAGCAUCGGUCCCUUCAGGGUCUCCAUCUCGACCGGGCCGGAGGCGGCGCCUAUCCCUACGCUCGCCAAUUACCACCGGCCAGGUGGCCCUGCGAGCGGGGGCCGCUUGUCGAUCUGCGCCUGCACGAUGGUGUUCAACGCCGCCAAGUUCCUCCCGGAGUGGGUGGUGUACCACGCCGCCAUCGGCGUGGAGCGCUUCUUCCUCUACGACAACGGGAGCGAGGACGAGCUGGAGUCGGUGGUGAGUCGACUCGGCUCGCAGGGUUUCGACGUGACGACCCGGUUCUGGCCUUGGCCGAAGACCCAGGAGGCCGGCUUCUCCCACUGCGCCGUGGUGAACCGCGACGAGUGUGAGUGGAUGGCAUUCAUCGACGUGGACGAAUUCGUGUACUCCACGGACUGGGACGAAUCGGACCAACCCAACCGGUCCAUGAUGGGCUCGCUCGUAGCGGUCGGGCCGGAGGUGGGCCAGAUUUCCAUAAAAUGCCUGGAGUUCGGGCCCUCAGGGCACAGGGCCCACCCACCAGGCGGCGUCACCCAGGGGUACACCUGCCGUCGGCGGAACGAGGAGCGGCACAAGUCGCUGCUCCGCCUCGACGCGGCGGCCGUCUCGCUGGUGAACUCGGUCCACCAUUUCGAGUUGCGGGAGGGGUUCGAGACCAAGCAGGUCGAGGUGGGGGAGGCGAGGCUGAACCACUACAAAUACCAAGCAUGGAAGGAGUUCAAGGCCAAGUUCCGGCGGCGCGUGUCGGCGUACGUGGUGGAUUGGAAGGAACCGAUGAACCUGGCGUCGAAGGAUCGGCCGCCCGGUCUGGGGUCCGACCCGAUCGAGCCGAAGGGUUGGACCGACAUGUUCUGCGAGGUGAACGACACCCGGCUCAGGGACGCAACGCGGAGGUGGUUCACCGAGGUGAAGCUCGAUGGGGCAGAGAGAAUGGCUUGGGAUAGCUAGCAAAUCUCACCUCUACUUUCUUCGUUGGCGUCGAACACAGUGCUAGCAUACGAACAGAGAAGGCGAUACUGGAAAGAAGACAACGAAUUCUUUUAUACUCAUUAAUUUAUUGUAAUUUGUGUGCCCAGUCAUAUACGGAGAACAUACUACUGUUAGAACCUUCGGGGCUGUAUUGUUUAUUUCUAUGCCAGAAGAGCAAUUUUGACUUGGUCAAAGUGAGACAUUGCAGAAUCGAACUGCUUUUGUUACCAAUAAUGCGUGCAGAUGCCGUCGAAGCCUUUACGUGGCUACUGUCUUCCAUUGGCUGCCCUCUUUGUUGCGUGUUGUGGGUCAUUCGGUGGAUCCUCGCUGGAGCGGAGAAAAAAUCGUAGGGUGCCAACCGGCAGAUAUCACGCGGAUCGCUGACGUGUACACCAUGCCACAGAUCUCUCUUUUCUCCGUUUCCUUCGAGCCGUUGGAUUUUGAUUUCAUCUCUCUCUUGCCGUGGCUUGACCACUUCUGGCUGCCUCCGUCUCUCUUCCUUCCUCAGCUAUCGCCCACCGAAGAGCGCUGAUCUGAGGUAUCGCCAUGAAACGGGGCAAGUCGAAGGUGGAUGCACCCAAGAAGGCCGAUGGCAGGCUUUCCGUAAAGAAGGGACCGGAACGGACGGGUAAGAAGCCCAGGAAGACGAAGGCCGACAAGGAUCCCAACAAGCCCAAGAGGCCCCCCAGUGCCUUCUUCGUCUUCAUGGAGGAAUUCAGGAAGUCGUUCAAGGAAAAGAACCCCAACAACAAGUCGGUCUCUGUGGUUGGUAAAGCUGCAGGAGACAAGUGGAAAUCCCUGUCGGAAGCCGUAAGUAAUGUGAACGAUUUCUCUCGCCUUAGUUCAACAAAGCUAGGGAAAGUUUUGAUCUGGGGAAAACCGUAUGCUUCGAUUGCAGGAGAAGGCUCCUUAUGUCGCCAAGGCAGCUAAGUUUAAGACGGAGUACACCAAGAAAUUAGCUUCCUAUAAUAAGAACCAAUCUGGUGGAGGAAGCCAUGAUGCUGAUGAUGAAGACGAGUCUGACAAAUCCAGCUCUGAGGUGAAUGAUGAUGAUGAAGAAGGAAGUGGAGAGGAAGAAGAGGAUGAUGAAUGAGUGAAUUAUAAGCAAAGUGCAGUGUAAUGGGAUUCAUUAUCUUGGCUAUCACUAACAUGUACUUGCUUUCUUCAAACUGAAAGCUAAUUUGUUGCCACUUGUUAGUGGACGAGUUUGAUUGACAAGAUGUUAGUGGUAUUUGCUGCCGUAUCUCUAUGGAAUGUAAAGUCUUUGAUUGACAUGGUGCUCAAGCUAAUUAGAUGGCAUUUGCUAGUUGACCUGUGUUUU
Non-coding RNA from Musa acuminata subsp. malaccensis (wild Malaysian banana), 3019 nucleotides. The record is from RefSeq and is a predicted model, not a curated record. Lineage: Eukaryota; Viridiplantae; Streptophyta; Magnoliopsida; Zingiberales; Musaceae.